AUUCUGCAUACCGAAGAAUAAAGACACAGCAUAAUCCCUCUCCCCAAGGACUAGACGACACAUAGUCUGGGAGUCAACUGGCUUUUAUUGCACAAACUCUGCUUUUAUGCAUUUGUCCCAUGCAAGGGAGGUAACCUCCAUAAUUAUUACAGUAUCCAAUCACAUAGUUGUUACCUCCCCCACAUCUCCUCCCCUUAGAUUAACAGUAGCC
This is a non-coding RNA of Pelobates cultripes (western spadefoot toad), 211 nucleotides long. Lineage: Eukaryota; Metazoa; Chordata; Amphibia; Anura; Pelobatidae. The record is from the annotation of a GenBank genome assembly.